This is a long non-coding RNA of Equus caballus (horse), 3838 nucleotides long. RefSeq lists it as uncharacterized. Lineage: Eukaryota; Metazoa; Chordata; Mammalia; Perissodactyla; Equidae. The record is from RefSeq and is a predicted model, not a curated record.
GGGCAGAGCCGGCUGCCCCAGGUUCUCCCGCCUUGGCUGGCUCUUGCUCCUCUUCCCAGCCGCCAGGCUCCCCUGCUGUUCACUCGGAGGUGAAGGAAAGCGUCACCCAACCUCACGAACAGGAAAAAGCGAGGGAAUAUCACCUCCAUGAAGACAAGCACUGUGUUUUGUUCACGGCGGCAACUCCCAGAAGAGUGUGAGCGCCCAGCGGGGCCCGCUUAUCCAUUAGGCAGUAUGGAGGGUCCGCGAUGGUCUUAGGGGCCCAAGAAUAUGUUUUAAUUACUUUUAAAAUCAGAAUAAAAGUGUAAUGAUAGUAUAUAAUACUGAAUCCAGCCUGGAUUAUAGUCGUCCUUAUACCAACACAGGCGGAAGGAGCGCAGUAAGCUAAGUGCCUGGGACCCACGAGUCUAAUAAGCCGUGGCGCUCAGAAAUGAUUAAGUGAAUGAGUAACUGUGAAGGAAUCGAAUCUUCUGUCAAGCCUUGCCGAGAGGGCAAGGGCACUAUGGCCUGAACCUGAGGCUGCAGAGGGUGGAAGCAGCUUAGUGGGCCCCCUGUAAUGAAACCUGCUGCACAGUCACACCCAAACUCAGGAAGCGGGUGAAACCCCACUUAGACAAAGUAAUAAAAUAUUGUAAUUAACUGUUAGUCACCUGACCCCGUCCCAGACAGAAAAGGAGUUUGAGAAAAAUGUUAAAAAAAAAAAAAACAAAAAAAACCAAACAAACAACUUAUCUUUGGGAUUCAACAACAUAAGGAGAUCACGUAUAAACAAUGAACUUUCUCACUUGAUUGGAUAAAAGCUAAAUCCUAGGGACAUGCCUUAGUUAAUUUCUUUUUGCUGAGGAAGAUUAGCCCUGAGCUAACAUCUGUGCCGGUCUUCCUCCACUUUACGUGUGGGACACGGUCACAGAGUGGCCAAGGAGUGGUGUUAUGUUUGCACACGGAAUGCGAAUCUCAAACCCGGCUGCCAAAGCAGAGCACGCUGAAUUUAACCACUAUGCCCUGGGUGGCCCCCCUCGUGAAAAAUUUUACAGUAUUAGAAGAGGUUCCUCUGCAUAUCUGUACAGUUCUAUUUCUCUGAGCCCCAGACUGUGCUUUAAAAAAAUUCUACCACUGAAAUAAGUAGUAACAAAUGUGCAGAAUUUGAUGAGGUACAGUCCUGGUGAGUCAAGACCAAAUACAAUUCCGGGAUAAACAAAAGAUUUUUGUCAUUUGAGACAGCCUGUAGAAGCCAAAUGAAAAUUUUGGUUCUUCAGAUAGUGUUGUUGUGUUGAUGUAUGAUGACUCAUUCAGUUGGGUGCAAAUUAAAAGUGUCCCAGUCUUCAUAUUACAUGCUUAUUUCUGAAGAACCAUUUCCUUGUGAGGUUUGUGUAGUUUAUUAAACUUCCUGGUACUUCUCAGUGGUACAUGUGAUUCUUUGAUAAAUGAUAUGCUUACUUACAACUUGUAUUAAUUUGUCUUUCUCACUAGAGAGGGAGGCUGUCCCUUUUCUCUUUUUUUUUUAAUUUACCACUUUGCCCCAAGCCUACCACUGAUAGCACUAGAUUAAUCUUACCUCAAUAGUUGCAGAUAUUUUUCUUUUAGAGGAAGUGUUAAAACUUGGCAUUUUCAAUGAGUUUUAUGUAUAAUUUUUAUUUGAUCUUGCAUUGUGUACAUAGGGUAAUAUUAAUACUUUAUUGAUAAAUAGAUACAAAGCUGAACAGAUUGAGUCAUAACUGAUAAAACUAGAAUUCAGUUUCUGGGGUUAAAUUUAGGCAGUAAAUUCAUGCUUGGACCCCUCUCUAUUCCACACAGCAAGAACAAUAACGGUUAAAGAUAUAAAGGGAAAAAAAGAAAUACCUGGACUCAAAAACAAGAGAAACAUCUCAGCAGAUCAAAUAUGAGGAACACAAAGCCUUGUGGAGUGGUCAGGUGCUUGCUGGGCUGCAAGUCCAAAAGCAGGCAAUGGUGGCACAUUCUAUGGGGUAAGGAGCCCUGAAAGUGCUCCACAUGAACCAUGGGGAGACAGGCCAAACUGACUGCCUGAGGUCAGCCCUCCCUCCAAAAAUCUUCAAAUGUCAUUUGCUUUUGACCCACAUAGCCUUGGACUGCAGCUUUAUAAAUAGGGAGGCAGCAGAGAGGGCAACCACUAGACUUUCCACUGUUGUGGACUGGAAUGGUGAUAUCCCCAAAUCACUGCAGGACAGGAGCCCUAAAUCACCGCUAGCAGCCCUAGUUUUGGCCAAGGGGCCAGGAAAUGCAAUUAAAAACCCCAUUCUUAGGGAGAGGGUGAGGGAAAGCUUGACAGAGAGAUGAGCUAAAACGAAAAUAAAAACCCUCCCACUCAAAUGAGCCUACAAACCCAAAUUCUAGCAAACAUGUAGAAAUAAAAAAUUUAAAUUCUGCCAGCCAAAUUAAAAAUUGGAAUUGGAAUUAACUGCAGAAAGAAUUUUAUAGAACAGUUUUAAUACAUUAUUAAAAAACAGGCAGAAAUGAAUCAAAAAUAGAUGGAUAUAAAAAAAUCUUGAAAAUAAAAAAUGUAGUUAUGCAAAUAUAAAAUUCAAUAGAUGAGAUUAAACUCCAAUGUGGACACAGUCACAAGAGGAAUUCUGAGGGUAAAAAAAGAAUAGAUGAAAUGACAGAAAGGCAAAUAUUUUAACAGAAAGUAGCUUCAUAUGUCAAAUAAAAUUUUUUAAAAAUAGCUGAAAAUUUUCCAGAAUUGAAGAUGGACAAGGAUCUUCAGAUUAAAGUGUGCUCUGGAAAACAAGCAGGAUAAACAAUAAACUCAGAGUAGUAAAACUAUAGAAUAUUAAGGAUAAAAAUCUUAAAUGCUAACAGAUUAUCUUCAAGUGAACAAUUAGACUGACACUAGGCAUCUUAUCUAUAACAAAAGGGUCCAGAAGAUAAUGGAGUGUAUCUUAAACAUAUUGAGAAUUAAAAAAGAAAGAGAAAACUUUCAAUCUAGAAUUUCAAACCCAGCGUGAAGGAUUCAGUUUAUGACCUCUCAGACAACAGUUUCCUUAACUUGGAUGUACAACAUAGCACCACUCAGUGAUGGGCAAGUUAUUCCUAUCACUUUAAAUAACUAGUACUAUAUAUAAGCUCUUUCAAUUAACUUUAUUGAAUAGCCAAAUUGAUAAGUUAGCACAGUUCAAACAAUUAUUUGCAUGGGUUACAAAUGACUUUUUUUUUUUUACAGGAAUAAAACAGUGAAAAUUACAAACUGUAAAAAGGAAGACAAAUCUUGUCUCUAACAUUUCAGAGAAGCAAGAUUUAACACACCACAUUGAAGAGCAAUACAUAUUUGAAUUUGAGAACAAGAAUUUAAUGUUACAGUAUUAUACACUACUUUACAAAAUUAAAAUUUCUAUAUAAGGAUUUUAUUUGUAAAGUUAACAAAAUCUUGAAAUCACAUUUGGUGGUCCCCUAGAUAAUAGCUGUUAUGCAUCUUUGAUAAGAAAUAAAUCUUUUAUUCUAAUUAUUGUAAAACAGUCUAUUAGACUCAAUACAUUAAAUUAAAACAAUGAAAUAUAUGCAAACUAAAAUAAAUGGUACAGCUUGAGUGAAUAUUAAUGUCAGACUUACAGAAAUGUUAUUUUAAAAAUCCUAGAAAUUAGAAAAAUAGAGUAUUUUUAUGGUAGAUCUGCCAUGCUCAGAUUUAAAUACCAAGAUUGCCCUUGUCUGUUACUUUAGUAGUUGUAGAUCUGUAGAAAAUUCAAGGAUCUUUCAUAAUUUACAACUACGAUAAAAAAAAUAUGGCAUAGUGUAAAUAUUAGUUGCUUUACAUUAAAAAGAAAUACAAGAUGAUAUAGCAGGUAGUACCCUACUGCAAAAAACAAAAACAAAACAAACUAAAAAA